UGGGGGAUAUUGCACAAUGGGGGAAACCCUGAUGCAGCAACGCCGCGUGAGGGAAGAAGGUUUUCGGAUUGUAAACCUCUGUCCUAUGGGACGAUAAUGACGGUACCAUAGGAGGAAGCUCCGGCUAACUACGUGCCAGCAGCCGCGGUAAUACGUAGGGAGCGAGCGUUGUCCGGAAUUACUGGGUGUAAAGGGUGCGUAGGCGGCUUAACAAGUCAGGCGUGAAAUCUAUGGGCUUAACCCAUAAACUGCGCUUGAAACUGCUAAGCUUGAGUGAAGUAGAGGCAGGCGGAAUUCCCGGUGUAGCGGUGAAAUGCGUAGAGAUCGGGAGGAACACCAGUGGCGAAGGCGGCCUGCUGGGCUUUAACUGACGCUGAAGCACGAAAGCGUGGGUAGCAAACAGGAUUAGAUACCCUGGUAGU
RNAcentral lists this ribosomal RNA (422 nucleotides) under uncultured Clostridium sp. RNAcentral's name for it is "bacterial SSU rRNA". It matches the Rfam family "Bacterial small subunit ribosomal RNA", at positions 355 to 794 of the family's 1533-position model. The record is from RNAcentral. Lineage: Bacteria; Bacillati; Bacillota; Clostridia; Eubacteriales; Clostridiaceae.